UCGAGGGGGCUUGCCCCCGUCAAGAUACCACCCUUUGCCUUUGAGUACCUUCUGUUUCCUCGGCAGGCUCGCCUGCCAAUGGGGACCACAACCAAACCUUUUUGUAUCUGUAGUAAACGUUUUACAAAAUAAAAAAUCAAAACUUUCAACAACGGAUCUCUUGGUUCUGGCAUCGAUGAAGAACGCAGCGAAAUGCGAUAAGUAGUGUGAAUUGCAGAAUUCAGUGAAUCAUCGAAUCUUUGAACGCACAUUGCGCCCUUUGGUAUUCCUUAGGGCAUGCCUGUUCGAGCGUCAUCUAACCCUUCAAGCACUGCUUGGUGUUGGGCGUUUGUCCCGCCUUGGGCGCGGACUCGCCUCAAAGACAUUGGCGGCCUGUGUAUUGGCUUCGAGCGCAGCAGACUCGCGCGUCGACUCCUCUAGCACUAGGCGUCCAGCAAGCCUAUUAUCUC
RNAcentral lists this unclassified non-coding RNA (449 nucleotides) under Hermatomyces sphaericus. RNAcentral describes it as "sequence contains ITS1, 5.8S rRNA gene, ITS2". The stretch from base 141 to 294 matches the Rfam family "5.8S ribosomal RNA". Lineage: Eukaryota; Fungi; Ascomycota; Dothideomycetes; Pleosporales; Hermatomycetaceae. The record is from RNAcentral.